RNAcentral lists this ribosomal RNA (890 nucleotides) under Staphylococcus aureus DAR5865. Its description in RNAcentral is "bacterial SSU rRNA". It matches the Rfam family "Bacterial small subunit ribosomal RNA", at positions 8 to 879 of the family's 1533-position model. Lineage: Bacteria; Bacillati; Bacillota; Bacilli; Caryophanales; Staphylococcaceae. The record is from RNAcentral.
AGAGUUUGAUCCUGGCUCAGGAUGAACGCUGGCGGCGUGCCUAAUACAUGCAAGUCGAGCGAACGGACGAGAAGCUUGCUUCUCUGAUGUUAGCGGCGGACGGGGGAGUAACACGUGGAUAACCUACCUAUAAGACUGGGAUAACUUCGGGAAACCGGAGCUAAUACCGGAUAAUAUUUUGAACCGCAUGGUUCAAAAGUGAAAGACGGUCUUGCUGUCACUUAUAGAUGGAUCCGCGCUGCAUUAGCUAGUUGGUAAGGUAACGGCUUACCAAGGCAACGAUGCAUAGCCGACCUGAGAGGGUGAUCGGCCACACUGGAACUGAGACACGGUCCAGACUCCUACGGGAGGCAGCAGUAGGGAAUCUUCCGCAAUGGGCGAAAGCCUGACGGAGCAACGCCGCGUGAGUGAUGAAGGUCUUCGGAUCGUAAAACUCUGUUAUUAGGGAAGAACAUAUGUGUAAGUAACUGUGCACAUCUUGACGGUACCUAAUCAGAAAGCCACGGCUAACUACGUGCCAGCAGCCGCGGUAAUACGUAGGUGGCAAGCGUUAUCCGGAAUUAUUGGGCGUAAAGCGCGCGUAGGCGGUUUUUUAAGUCUGAUGUGAAAGCCCACGGCUCAACCGUGGAGGGUCAUUGGAAACUGGAAAACUUGAGUGCAGAAGAGGAAAGUGGAAUUCCAUGUGUAGCGGUGAAAUGCGCAGAGAUAUGGAGGAACACCAGUGGCGAAGGCGACUUUCUGGUCUGUAACUGACGCUGAUGUGCGAAAGCGUGGGGAUCAAACAGGAUUAGAUACCCUGGUAGUCCACGCCGUAAACGAUGAGUGCUAAGUGUUAGGGGGUUUCCGCCCCUUAGUGCUGCAGCUAACGCAUUAAGCACUCCGCCUGGGGA